GUGUCAGCCGCCGCGGUAAUACGUAGGGGGCGAGCGUUGUUCGGAUUUACUGGGCGUAAAGAGCGCGUAGGCGGUUCGAUAAGUCGGAGGUGAAAGCCCUCGGCUCAACCGAGGUCCCGCGUCCGAGACUGUCGAACUUGAGGGCAGGAGAGGAGAGCGGAAUUCCGAGUGUAGCGGUGAAAUGCGUAGAUACUCGGAGGAACACCGGUGGCGAAGGCGGCUCUCUGGACUGCCCCUGACGCUGAGGCGCGAAAGCUAGGGGAGCAAACGGGAUUAGAUACCCCGGUAGUCCUAGCCGUAAACGAUGGGCACUAGGUGUGGGAGGUAUCGACCCCUUCCGUGCCGCAGCUAACGCACUAAGUGCCCCGCCUGGGGAGUACGGCCGCAAGGUUGAA
This 395-nucleotide ribosomal RNA is filed under the name uncultured bacterium. Its description in RNAcentral is "bacterial SSU rRNA". It matches the Rfam family "Bacterial small subunit ribosomal RNA", at positions 505 to 898 of the family's 1533-position model. The record is from RNAcentral.